AUGUACUUGCGCUGCGCCAUCGAUGACACACCCUCCAGGUGGGGCAAGUGCCUGCCGACGAAAGCCGACAAGAACCUGACCGAGCGCUCCUUCAGCGAGGGAGAUCAGGUCCUCCUCAAGCUCCAACCCUAUGUACAGUCAACGGUUGCCAACCGCCCCUGCCCCAAGCUCGCCUACAAGUUCUUCAGCCCAUUCAAGGUUCUGCAGCGCAUCGACACCAUGGCCUACAAGCUCCAGCUGCUAGAGGGCAAUCGUAUCCACUAUGUCUUCCAUGUGUCACAGCUGAAGCCCUUCAUGCUAGAUUACUCGCCGGUCUUCUCCGAGUUGCCCUGUACACCCGACCUCACCGCGGCUCCACUCCAACAUGUCGCCAUCUUGGAUUGA
RNAcentral lists this ribosomal RNA (384 nucleotides) under Triticum aestivum (bread wheat). RNAcentral's name for it is "partial small subunit ribosomal RNA". The record is from RNAcentral. Lineage: Eukaryota; Viridiplantae; Streptophyta; Magnoliopsida; Poales; Poaceae.